UUUCUACGUGCGUCAUCGUCCAGUACGGAGGGAUCGGUUAUAUUUUUAAAGAAUUAACAUUAUUUCUGUGUUUAAUCAUUUAAAUUAAUAUAUUUAUUAAGUAAAUCACGACCUAUGCGGAGAGAGAGCUCGCAAAUUGCUAUUUGCUUGCACGUAUUUCGAACAGUGAUCGUGUGACGCGAGCUAUCUACCCCACACACUGGAAGCAAAAAUAUCCAAAGCGGAGCUUGAGAAGGCGCCGAGGAGUUGCGCAAGAUUCUUGUUCGCAACGAAGCAGAUGUUACUGGACCAUUGCAAAGUACAUUUCGACGUGUGCACCGAAACGACGCUCAGGAAAUGUCCCCAAGGAACAUCCAUAGACGAGUUCGUUUCACCACCAAUAUUCACCAUCAGAGGGAUACUUUGUACAAGUCGUCUGCAGAGGUACCCACCUCUGUUCCACCCGUGUUCUCGCCGUGAAGCAGCUGCGCUCUCAUGGCUGUUUCGACUCGAAGAAAGGGAUAUGGCAGGGAGAUCACAGGACUCGGAGGCACAACACUAUAGUCCUCGAGGGGGGAAGGGAUUGUUAGUAAUGCGGACUAUCGGUCCCAUUGCUAACAAUAUACCCUAACAGGUCGACCUCCACGCGGUUCCCCCUGGAAACCAUCGUGACUAAUCAUUGUUCAAUUGGUCACGAUGGGCCAACUGGCCUGUGUCCAUGGCGCCCCGCCGGCGUGCACCGCUAGCGCGCGCGGAACAGCCAUGGACACCACCACGCCAUUAUUCGUGGUGGAUUUACUAAACUAUUAAGAGUGGUUUAAGUAUUUCAUUUAAUAUUUUUUUUUCUUUUAAUUUAUUCGUCUUUAGCGUAAGGUAUUAAAAACUUGAGAUACAAAGAAGGGCUGGUUUCCUAUGCAGAAUCCAGGUAGAUGAUAUGUCGAGUAAGAUUAUCCAUUUUAAUAUAUUUUUUUUUUCUUCUGUCUUUAGCGUAAGGUAUUAAAACCAUAUAACUAAUGGGAGUAGUUUAAGCAUUUCAUUUAAUAUAGUUUUUUCUAUUACUCGCCAUUGGCAUAAUGUAGCGUAAACAUUAUAACUAGCCUUUUUUUUAUUUUCUUUAUCUUUGACAUAAUUGUAGCGUAAACUUGAUAACUAGACUCGAGUACGUUCCCCACUCGGCUGCGAGGGCUGAUUGGGUGGUCUCCAACGAAGUGGCCGGGUGGAUGGUGUCAAGGGACAUAAGCCAUUACAAAUUUUUCUUUCUUAUUUUAUUCUUUUUUAGCGUAAGGUAUUAAAAACGUAACACAUAUAACUAAAUGUGUGAGUAGUUUAAGCAUUUCAUUUCAUUUUUUUUUAUUUUCUUCGUCUUUGACAUAAUGUAGCGUAAACAUAACUAGACUAUUUUUUUUUUCUUUAUCUUUGACAUAAGUGUAGCGUAAACAUUAUAACUAGACUCGAGUACGUUCCCCACUCGGCUGCGGUGUUCGGGGGCUGAUUGGGUGCUCUCCAACGAAGUGGCCGGGUGGAUGGUGUGUCGAGGGACGUCCGCCAUUACAAAGUUUUAUUUCUCGUUACAUUAAUUCUCUAGCGUAAGGUAUUGGAAACAUAACAUAUAUAUAUACAACUAAAUAUGUGAGUAGUUUAAGCAUUUCAUUUAGUAUAGUUUUUUUUUCUUUAUUUAUAUUUAGCGUAAGGAAGUGUGAUAACUAAUUCGUGUAGCUUCCGACGUGUUCCCGGAAGUUGCUCCUAAUUGUCUGAACAGCAAAGAAUUGUCACUUAAUAUGUAGUUUUAUUUUAUUUUAUUUUAAUUAGUUUAUAAGACGCGUGCAAAAAAAUUAUUAAUAUAUAUAUAUAUAUAUAUAUAUAUAUAUAUAUAUAUAUAUAUAUAUAUAUAUAUAUAUAUAUAUAUAUAUAUAUAUAUAUGUUAAAUGGAGUAAACCAGGUCAACUGUGCUGGUGAGUGCGGCCGGGAUGUGUCCACAGAUCAGGAUAAGCUGAGUGUCCCGCUCUGUGACAUAUACUCGGACACGCACAAACACACAGUCGGACACGAGUCACAUUCAUUAUUAUAGCUUUCAUACAACUUUCUAAUUCUUGUUACACUACAACAUUUGAUAGUCUAAGCUUUUGUUUGUUAGUUUAAAAGUUUAUUAGCGUAAGCGUUUGUUAAUUUAAGCAUUUGUUAAUCAAGCAAAUGUCAGUUUUCGUUUUUUAGUAAUAAUGCAGCUUGCUAGAAAACGAAAGUCUGUUAAUUUCAAGUAACUUUCUUUUGUGAUUCCUUUUCUUAAUUUCUCUAAAUAAAUAGUUUUCAUUUAUA
This is a long non-coding RNA of Galleria mellonella (greater wax moth), 2292 nucleotides long. RefSeq lists it as uncharacterized. The transcript is spliced from 3 exons. NCBI's taxonomy places the organism in Eukaryota, Metazoa, Arthropoda, Insecta, Lepidoptera, Pyralidae. The record is from RefSeq and is a predicted model, not a curated record.